Non-coding RNA from Macaca mulatta (Rhesus monkey), 601 nucleotides. NCBI's taxonomy places the organism in Eukaryota, Metazoa, Chordata, Mammalia, Primates, Cercopithecidae. The record is from RefSeq and is a predicted model, not a curated record.
AACCGUAAUCUGUAUUUCUUAAAAGAUCUCUAAGAGGGAGGUGGGAAACAAAUGGGAGUGGGCAAGGGGGCAAACAGGGAGACAAUUUCAGCAACCAUUUCAAUGCUCUACGAAGGAGAUGGCGAGGAGUGAAUGAUCCUGGUGGCCUGGCAGGUGAAGAAGAAAAAGAAACUGAGCCAUAAACAAGUUAGAGGGACUUGCCCAAGCUUACUCAGGCUAUGCAUGCGACAGCAGGAUUGGGAAGUGAAGGCCUCAGACCCCAGCGUCUGUGUGCUUGACCACGAUGCCAUUCUGCUUCCCUGAGACCCAAGGAAGUUGACUGCUAUGCUGUGAAGAACUCAAGCAGCCCAGUGGGGAGAUCCAAGUGUUAUAAAGAACUGAGGCACCUCACCAAUAGCCAGCACAGGCUUGCUGGUCACAAGAGUGAGCCAUCUGGGAAGCAGAUCCCCCAGCCCAGUCAAGUCUUCAGAUGACUGCAGUCCCCACUGUCAUUCGAGUUCAUGAGAGAUUAUAAGCCAGAACUAACCAGCCAAGCCACUCUUGAGUUCCUGACCCACAGAAACUGUGUGAGAUAAUAAAUAUUAAUUGUUGUUUUAAGUCA